This 702-nucleotide ribosomal RNA is filed under the name uncultured organism. Its description in RNAcentral is "bacterial SSU rRNA". It matches the Rfam family "Bacterial small subunit ribosomal RNA", at positions 36 to 793 of the family's 1533-position model. The record is from RNAcentral.
CUAGCGGUGCGCCUAAUACAUGCAAGUCGAGCGAUAUAGCGGCGAACGGGUGAGUACACGUUGGAACCUGCCCCGGACUCAGGGAUAGCCCGCCGAAAGGUGGAUUAAUACCGGAUAGUCCCGCAAGGGUAAAGCUUUUGCGGUCCGGGAGGGGCCUGCGUAGUAUCAGCUUGUUGGUAGGGUAAUGGCCUACCAAGGCUACGACGCUUAGCUGGUCUGAGAGGAUGAUCAGCCACAAUGGAACUGAGACACGGUCCAUACUCCUACGGGAGGCAGCAGUAGGGAAUCUUCCGCAAUGGGCGAAAGCCUGACGGAGCGACACCGCGUGGAGGACGAAGGUCUUUUGAUUGUAAACUCCUUUUCUGAGGGAAUAAAUGAUGAAGGUACCUCAGGAAUAAGCACCGGCUAACUACGUGCCAGCAGCCGCGGUAAUACGUAGGGUGCAAGCGUUAUCCGGAAUUAUUGGGCGUAAAGCGUGCGAAGGCUGUUAGUAAGUUUGAGGUUAAAUCUGGUGGCUCAACCAUCAAAUCGUCUCAAAAACUACUAAACUAGAGAAUGAUAGAGGCAACUGGAAUUCUGCGUGUAGGGGUAAAAUCCGUUGAUAUGCAGAGGAACACCAAAAGCGAAGGCAGGUUGCUGGGUCAUUUCUGACGCUGUUGCACGGAAAGCGUGGGGAGCGAACAGGAUUAGAUACCCUGGUAG